GUCGCCGGUCGACCGCGGCGACCUGCUGACGUCCGACGUCAGCGGUGGCACACGGCUGACGUCCGGCUCCGUCGCCGGCGGCGGCACC
RNAcentral lists this transfer RNA (88 nucleotides) under Actinomycetospora sp. NBRC 106378. RNAcentral's name for it is "tRNA-Arg". The record is from RNAcentral. Lineage: Bacteria; Bacillati; Actinomycetota; Actinomycetes; Pseudonocardiales; Pseudonocardiaceae.